This 468-nucleotide ribosomal RNA is filed under the name uncultured bacterium. Its description in RNAcentral is "partial 16S ribosomal RNA". It matches the Rfam family "Bacterial small subunit ribosomal RNA", at positions 28 to 507 of the family's 1533-position model. The record is from RNAcentral.
GACGAACGCUGGCGGCGUGCUUAACACAUGCAAGUCGAACGGAAAGGCCCUGCUUUUGUGGGGUGCUCGAGUGGCGAACGGGUGAGUAACACGUGAGUAACCUGCCCUUGACUUUGGGAUAACUUCAGGAAACUGGGGCUAAUACCGGAUAGGAGCUCCUGCUGCAUGGUGGGGGUUGGAAAGUUUCGGCGGUUGGGGAUGGACUCGCGGCUUAUCAGCUUGUUGGGGGGGUAGUGGCUUACCAAGGCUUUGACGGGUAGCCGGCCUGAGAGGGUGACCGGCCACAUUGCGCCUGAGAUACGGCCCAGACGCCAACGGGAGGCAGCAGUGGGGAAUAUUGCACAAUGGGCGGAAGCCUGAUGCAGCAACGCCGCGUGCGGAAUGACGGCCUUCGAGUUGUAAACCGCUUUCGCCUGUGACGAAGCGUGAGUGACGGUAAUGGGUAAAGAAGCACCGGCUAACUACGUG